CUAAGUAAUGCAGUGGUAAAAGUGGCAGUUGGGCUAAGCUCACCAUUUUUGGGCUAAGCGCAGCUUCAGCGUGACAGAGAAGCUGGCACAAUACCAAUAUCAAGGCCACACGCUAAGCGCGAGAUCAGUGUGCUAAGCGCAGGGGUUGUCAUUAGCCAGGCUCAAUGCAUGACUAGCGCUAUGCUCAAAUCCACUUACUCGCGCUAAGCGCAAUGUCGCGGCUUCAGAGCCUAUUUAAAGCUGGUUUGUGCAGAAUUAUGGUAACAAUCCAAAGAAUCACCAUCACGCAUAGAAGUCAGAGCACACCACAGUGCCUAUUUCGAGAAAAGAGCUCUGUAGGCAGCAAGAGGAGAAACUUUUGCAGAG
This 366-nucleotide long non-coding RNA is filed under the name Glycine max (soybean). RNAcentral describes it as "long non-coding RNA (GMAX_LNC000378)". Lineage: Eukaryota; Viridiplantae; Streptophyta; Magnoliopsida; Fabales; Fabaceae. The record is from RNAcentral.